AUGACCCCUCUUCACAGCCAGUCCAUUCAGAGCCAAACAUCUCUUCCAAACUUGCUCAAAACACAUCAAAGAAUUAAGAGAUUCUCCCACUCAAUAGCAGUAACACACAUUCAACAAAGAAUGAAGAAUCACCACCUCUUUGGCAAACUUUUAACUAAAACACCUUUUCCACAAACACACCACCAGGGAGACACAACACCAGACAGUGUAUAUGAGGAAGAGAAUGACCUACAUC
Molecule: non-coding RNA, 235 nt
Organism: Vicia faba (fava bean)
Lineage: Eukaryota; Viridiplantae; Streptophyta; Magnoliopsida; Fabales; Fabaceae
Source: the annotation of a GenBank genome assembly